This 492-nucleotide ribosomal RNA is filed under the name uncultured bacterium. RNAcentral's name for it is "partial 16S ribosomal RNA". It matches the Rfam family "Bacterial small subunit ribosomal RNA", at positions 29 to 507 of the family's 1533-position model. The record is from RNAcentral.
AGUGAACGCUGGCGGUAGGCCUAACACAUGCAAGUCGAACGGCAGCACAGUAAGAGCUUGCUCUUACGGGUGGCGAGUGGCGGACGGGUGAGGAAUACAUCGGAAUCUACUUUUUCGUGGGGGAUAACGUAGGGAAACUUACGCUAAUACCGCAUACGACCUACGGGUGAAAGCAGGGGAUCUUCGGACCUUGCGCGAUUGAAUGAGCCGAUGUCGGAUUAGAUAGUUGGCGGGGUAAAGGCCCACCAAGGCGACGCUCCGUAGCUGGUCUGAGAGGAUGAUCAGCCACACUGGAACUGAGACACGGUCCAGACUCCUACGGGAGGCAGCAGUGGGGAAUAUUGGACAAUGGGCGCAAGCCUGAUCCAGCCAUACCGCGUGGGUGAAGAAGGCCUUCGGGUUGUAAAGCCCUUUUGUUGGGAAAGAAAAGCAGCAGGUUAAUACCCCGCUGUUCUGACGGUACCCAAAGAAUAAGCACCGGCUAACUUCGUG